Molecule: ribosomal RNA, 497 nt
Filed under: uncultured bacterium
Lineage: Bacteria
Description: partial 16S ribosomal RNA
Rfam family: Bacterial small subunit ribosomal RNA
Source: RNAcentral
GACGAACGCUGGCGGCGUGCCUAAUACAUGCGAGUUGAGCGCUGAAGGUUGGUACUUGUACCAACUGGAUGAGCAGCGAACGGGUGAGUAACGCGUGGGGAAUCUGCCUUUGAGCGGGGGACAACAUUUGGAAACGAAUGCUAAUACCGCAUAAAAACUUUAAACACAAGUUUUAAGUUUGAAAGAUGCAAUUGCAUCACUCAAAGAUGAUCCCGCGUUGUAUUAGCUGGUUGGUGAGGUAAAGGCUCACCAAGGCGAUGAUACAUAGCCGACCUGAGAGGGUGAUCGGCCACAUUGGGACUGAGACACGGCCCAAACUCCUACGGGAGGCAGCAGUAGGGAAUCUUCGGCAAUGGACGAAAGUCUGACCGAGCAACGCCGCGUGAGUGAAGAAGGUUGUCGGAUCGUAAAACUCUGUUGGUAGAGAAGAACGUUGGUGAGAGUGGAAAGCUCAUCAAGUGACGGUAACUACCCAGAAAGGGACGGCUAACUACGUG